This 293-nucleotide unclassified non-coding RNA is filed under the name rhizosphere metagenome. RNAcentral's name for it is "partial ribosomal RNA internal transcribed spacer region". The record is from RNAcentral.
GAAUAUUCUUGAUGGGUUGUAGCUGGCUCUCCGGAGCAUGUGCACACUUGUCUUGACUUUAUUCAUCCACCUGUGCACCUUUUGUAGUCUUGGGGGUUGAAAGCAGUCGACUAUCGGAUGGCUAUAAUAGCCUUUCCGGACGUGAGGAAUGCUGGGUGCGAAAGCAUACAGCUCUUCUCAAAUGACUACUCCUCUCCUUCAAGUACUAUGUAUUCAUAUACCACAUAGUAUGUCGUAGAAUGUGAUCAAUGGGAUAAUCAUAUACAACUUUCAGCAACGGAUCUCUUGGCUCU